Molecule: ribosomal RNA, 343 nt
Filed under: Casarea dussumieri
Lineage: Eukaryota; Metazoa; Chordata; Lepidosauria; Squamata; Bolyeriidae
Description: partial 12S ribosomal RNA
Source: RNAcentral
AAACAACUACGAGUGAAAACUUAAAAUUUAAAGGACUUGACGGUACUUCACCCAACCUAGAGGAGCCUGUCUAAUAACCGAUACUCCACGAUUAACCCAACCACUUCUAGCCAUACAGUCUAUAUACCGCCGUCGCCAGCCUACCUUAUGAAAGAAACAAAGUAAGCCAAACAGUCAAACACUAACACGACAGGUCGAGGUGUAACUUAUGAAGUGGAAAAAGAUGGGCUACAUUUUCUAGUAUAGACUAAACGGACAUAGCUGUGAAACCGACUAUUAAAGGAGGAUUUAGUAGUAAGAUGAGAACACAAUACUCAACUGAAAACAAUGCAAUGAAGUGCGU